GAUGAACGCUGGCGGCGUGCCUAAUACAUGCAAGUCGAGCGAACAGAUGAGGAGCUUGCUCCUCUGACGUUAGCGGCGGACGGGUGAGUAACACGUGGAUAACCUACCUAUAAGACUGGGAUAACUUCGGGAAACCGGAGCUAAUACCGGAUAAUAUAUUGAACCGCAUGGUUCAAUAGUGAAAGACGGUUUUGCUGUCACUUAUAGAUGGAUCCGCGCCGCAUUAGCUAGUUGGUAAGGUAACGGCUUACCAAGGCAACGAUGCGUAGCCGACCUGAGAGGAUCCGACCACAGAAUGUAGGAGAGACAAGGCCCAGGCGGCUGAGGGCGGCAGCAGUAGAGAAUCUUGCACAAGGGGGAAAAGCAAGACGGAGCGACGACGCGGGGGUGAGGAAGGUCUUCGGAUCGUAAACCCCAGCGAGUAAGAAAGAAAAGAUGUAUAAUAAACUAUCCACGUUGUAAUGAUACCUAAGCAAAAAGCCGCGGAGAACUACUCGCCAGCAGACGCGAUAAGAGAUCGACCAGACGUAAGAAC
Molecule: ribosomal RNA, 535 nt
Filed under: uncultured bacterium
Lineage: Bacteria
Description: partial 16S ribosomal RNA
Rfam family: Bacterial small subunit ribosomal RNA
Source: RNAcentral